UACCCCUUCUUUUUCUCUAUCGUCGUCUCUGCGAACCCUAGCUUUUCACUCUCUCUGUGCUUCGAUCAAAGCUCGCAUUUUUUAACUUUGAGCAUGGCUUCCGGAUCAUCGGGUCGUAACAACUCUGCUUCGAAAGGGUUUGAUUUCGCCACCACCGAUGACAUUGUUUGCUCGUACGAGGACUACAACAAUCAAGAUAAUUAUAAUGGAAGGCACUCCGAUUCCGUGAUCGGAUCCAAUUCUGCUAAGCUUUGAAGAACAAUGCAGUGGUCCAGAGAAAGGUGACUAGCUAGAAUUUGGGCCUUGAGUUCUUCUCAAGGCCUCUCGUUUCCGCGCACACACAAAACUAUCUCAGUUUGCUUCAAUACUGAAUUUUGCUUGUUGUAGGAUAGUGUUGGGCAGCGGACCUUGGUUAUUUACUUGUAAAAUGCAGUGGUUUCCAAUUGGGUCACCCUAAAAUCCAUUUUAUUUUUCACAUGUUAGUAGUCUGAAAGUCUCUUCUCACUGCUCUGUGGAUACCUUUACUAUAGUUAAUGUCUGCUGGAUUUGUAUGUAAGCCAUUUUGUUUGUUGAGUUAGUUACCAUCCUCAUAUUGUUUACGCAAAAUAUUUUUAAAGUUAACAUUAACAUUGGUGGUUCAGUGCAAGUUUUCUUUCCUUCCUAGACUUGCCAAAUUCCCCCAACCCAAAAUGGGAAAAUCACCAAUCUAAUUUUAUGUGCAUUGCUGUUUCCUGCUUCUGAUCCUUGAGAUUGAAACUCUUUAAUGAUGGCUACUGCAACCGUCUCUUUUGCUGGUCCAUGUUAUGCUCUAGAGGACCCCACUCUUCCCAAGCCUUGGAAAGGGCUAGUUGAUUGUAAAACUGGUUAUCUUUACUUCUGGAAUCCGGAGACCAAUGUCACUCAGUGUGAGAAGCCCGCUGCCUCUUCACACACGGGCUCAGCUCCACCACAAAAGCUGUCUGCAGCACCUGUAAGUUCUUCGGUUCAAGUUGAACAAUCUUCUCAUGGACAUUGUGACAGUAUCUUCAACGAUGAUGACGAUAGAUAUAAUGGAGGUAGCAAUAGUCGGUCUAAGCUUGAUACAGGAACACGGAGUUAUCAGAGUGGGAAAGGUGGAUCAGAUAAUUCUCAAAAUGUUCCUAAUGAGGAGAUAGGCGUUGGACAUGGAGGGUCUUUUGGCAGAGGUUAUGGCUUUUGGCUGUUGGAAAUGGCCCAUCUGUCGAAUCUUAUCGCCGUCAGCAUGAAAUUACUAUUAGUGGAGAUAAUGUACCCCCUCCUUUAACAUCAUUUGAAGCUACUGGUUUUCCUUCAGAGCUUCUUCGAGAGACACACGAGCACCACCACCGACCACCACCAGCCAUUGUUUCUCCGAUUCAGAAACAUGAACGCAUCUCCGGCGGCAGAUUUCUUCUACGGCGAGGUCGUUUGAUUCCGAUUUCUUUGUGAGUUCAAUUCAUCAUCUCUCUCUCUACACUCUCUCUCUACAUAUAUAAAUCAUUCAUAUAUAAUUUCUAAUUUGUCUGAUUAUUUUCUUAAUUGAUUAUUUUCUCCAUAAAUCGUUUUCUAAUUUCUGAUUAUUUUCUUAACUGAUCUGUAGUUUAAAUUACACAAAUCUAGAUCUCUCCUCUCAUUCACCAAGUAACUAAUUCGCACUUCGAGAGAGAGAAAUGAGACAGCGAUUUCAUAUUUGAUCGAACAUUGGUUUGGAGGAAAUUGAAACCCUUAGAUUUGUCUAAAAUUGUUGUGUUUUGUUGCUUUGUUUCUGCAUCGAUUCACCGAACUGCAUCAUUCUCUCCUGUGGUUGAAGAAAACUCAUUAACAAAUUUUUAAUUCUAUUUUUUUUUGUCUUUUCAAAUUCAUAAAAAUAAAGGGAAAAUUAUAAACAUUAGAACAAGAGUUGAGUUUUUGAAUGGGUUAAUACCAGAAAUAACAGGUUGAACACUGUUGAGGACCAUGGUAAUGGCAAGAAGGUAAAUCAAAUGAGCAACAGCUUUUUGCAUGUCUUUGCUCUCUGUGAGAAUGACAACAAAAUGGUUUCUAGUAGUCAUUAUAAUUGACAUGAACAAUAUCCCUAUUAGAAGAGACUCAGUCACUGUUACAAAGACUGAGUAUUUUGCUCCCUUGGGAUGUUUUGAUCCUAGCUCAUUUGAAACCCUAACACUGUCAUGAAGGAAAAAAAAUUAAAUAAAUUGUUCAAAAGAAACCAAGAAUGAAAAUUAGAUCAAUACCUUGCAAUGAAAUUUGACAGGGAAAGUAAAUGUAUCAAAAGAGAAUCAAUAAAUGCAACAUAAAUUUUUUCAUAAAAGUGCAUAGAAUGCGGCUAGGAUAUCCUACUAUUGCAUGCAUUUUGGGUAUUUUUUUGAAAAUUUUCAUCAGUACUUAAAAUAAAAUUCAAAAGAUCGAUACAACACAAUGGAAUUUGAAAGGGAAAUAAAAUAUAUAUGUGAAGAGGAGAACAAAAAAAUGCUAGUAACGGAUAUGGAAUUUUUUUUUUUUUUUUAAAGUAUACAUGUAGUCAGGAUGAAUGUAGUGUUUUAAUCCAAGCUCGUUUGAAGCAGGAUGAAAAAUAAGUGCUACUCCAUGGGGUAGGAGAAGAUUUUAUGAAGGGAUUUUUUAGGAUUCCAAUGGCUAAAACUUUUCAACAAGAUUCUGGAUAAUUCUAAAUACACCCACAAAAUUUCUCAAUACACCCAUUUUAUGAGACAAUUCCCCAAAUAGUGGGUUUAUUCAAUAUUGCCACUAAUUACAAGUGUGAACCCUAUGAAUAAUAAUACAGUGUAGAGAUAGGAAGGGGGUAAUACCAGGAAGGAGGUGAAGACAGCAAAGAAGGCCCCGAAUCCAAGAAUAACAGAGUACCCAACACCUUGAUUUAAAACUACUUUCCCUCCAAAGAAACUGCUUUGUCUCACACAACUGUCCCCCGUGCUUGAGUAAAUACUUGGCGGCGAACACAAACAGCGGACAAUUUGGCAGAGAAGAAGCCAUGAAGCCACUGCUCUUCUCCAACUUCAACUGUCAGAGUCUGGCACUCUGUUUGUGUGGGAAUUUAUAUACACAUAGAGGAACUGAUUUGCUUUAUUGUGACGGUAUACACAAUAUGGUUCUAGUCGAACUAUGAAAGUUUCUCUCGUUGCUUGCUAUGAGAGGCAUGUCUUGGAUGGCAUUGAUGCUUUCAGUGGUCACUCUCUUGGGUUUGAAUUAUAUAUAUAAAUAUGUAUAUGUGGCAUGUCAAUUAUAUAUGUUUUGUCACUUGAAAAAUAGAUUUUUUUUUUUAUUUCCCAAAUUAGGUUCUUUUACUUCUUAAAAAAGGAAAAAUGUGUGCGCCUUGUAUUUGUCCUACAUUGGAGCAGAUACUGCUUGAAGGUUAGACUCUUUUUUUUGGGUGUUUGGUCAGUUUGACCCUUAAAAAACCCGUGGGUGCCCUUUUCCUUCUCUGUUAAAAAUACACGCUGAUUUUUAUGUUA
Camellia sinensis is the source of this 3464-nucleotide non-coding RNA. NCBI's taxonomy places the organism in Eukaryota, Viridiplantae, Streptophyta, Magnoliopsida, Ericales, Theaceae. The record is from RefSeq and is a predicted model, not a curated record.